GAUGAACGCUGGCGGCGUGCCUAAUACAUGCAAGUCGAGCGAACGGACGAGAAGCUUGCUUUUCUGAUGUUAGCGGCGGACGGGUGAGUAACACGUGGAUAACCUACCUAUAAGACUGGGAUAACUUCGGGAAACCGGAGCUAAUACCGGAUAAUAUUUUGAACCGCAUGGUUCAAAAGUGAAAGACGGUCUUGCUGUCACUUAUAGAUGGAUCCGCGCUGCAUUAGCUAGUUGGUAAGGUAACGGCUUACCAAGGCAACGAUGCAUAGCCGACCUGAGAGGGUGAUCGGCCACACUGGAACUGAGACACGGUCCAGACUCCUACGGGAGGCAGCAGUAGGGAAUCUUCCGCAAUGGGCGAAAGCCUCACGGAGCAACGCCGCGUGAGUGAUGAAGGUCUUCGGAUCGUAAAACUCUGUUAUUAGGGAAGAACAUAUGUGUAAGUAACUGUGCACAUCUUGACGGUACCUAAUCAGAAAGCCACGGCUAACUACGUG
RNAcentral lists this ribosomal RNA (497 nucleotides) under uncultured bacterium. RNAcentral's name for it is "partial 16S ribosomal RNA". It matches the Rfam family "Bacterial small subunit ribosomal RNA", at positions 28 to 507 of the family's 1533-position model. The record is from RNAcentral.